UCCUGCCCACUGACGUUGAGUUGAAGGGCCGCGGUAUCGUGACCGUGCGAAGGUAGCAUAAUGAUUUGUUCUUUAAUUGGGGGCUGGUAUGAAUGGUUGAACGAGAAAAAGACUGUCUCUUUUGUAAAACUUGAAUUUAACUUUUGAGUGAAAAGGCUCAAAUAUUCUAGGGGGACGAUAAGACCCUAUAAAUCUUUAUACUAGUUGGUAAUAACAUUAAAGAUUAAUUUUACAUUUUUUUGUUAGUAGUUUUAGUAUUUUGCUGGGGCGGCAGGGGUAUAAUUUAAUAACUGCUCUAGAGUUGUAGUUAAUUAUGUUUAAAUUGCUGGUAGUUGAUCCUUUAGUGGAGAUCAUAGAUUAAGUUACUUUAGGGAUAACAGCGCAAUCUUGCCUGAGAGUCCUUAUCGAAGGCAAGGUUUGCGACCUCGAUGUUGAAUUAAAGUUCCUUUGUGGUGCAGGAGCUACAAUAGGAGGUCUGUUCGACCUUUAAAUC
This 493-nucleotide ribosomal RNA is filed under the name Jasus lalandii (South African cape rock lobster). RNAcentral's name for it is "partial 16S ribosomal RNA". It matches the Rfam family "Bacterial large subunit ribosomal RNA", at positions 1857 to 2594 of the family's 2925-position model. The record is from RNAcentral. Lineage: Eukaryota; Metazoa; Arthropoda; Malacostraca; Decapoda; Palinuridae.